Molecule: long non-coding RNA, 301 nt
Filed under: Eucalyptus grandis
Lineage: Eukaryota; Viridiplantae; Streptophyta; Magnoliopsida; Myrtales; Myrtaceae
Description: long non-coding RNA (EGRA_LNC006663)
Source: RNAcentral
GAUGACGACAACAGUGGCCAUACACUGACCAAAAGGGGAAGAAGUCCAAGAAUCCAAAUAAGCAUAUGUCCUCCGAGCAGUGGACCAUAGCCUACAUGGAGCCAUUCACACUAAAUGUUUUCAUCUCCAAGUGCCUCAUCUCGACUUCACUCACUCACAAGGUCACGUGCAAGUGGGUCGCUAUUGCAGGUACCAAUUCUAAGGAUAUCAGAGCUGUGCUCAGUCUCAAUCGGACAUACCAGAAUGUUUGGCCAUAGGCCGGGUUAGGCAGACCAGGUGAGGGAAGUUGAUGUGUGCAAGC